RNAcentral lists this transfer RNA (77 nucleotides) under Christensenellaceae bacterium. Its description in RNAcentral is "tRNA-Val". It matches the Rfam family "tRNA". From Rfam's summary of the family: Transfer RNA (tRNA) molecules are approximately 80 nucleotides in length. Their secondary structure includes four short double-helical elements and three loops (D, anti-codon, and T loops). Further hydrogen bonds mediate the characteristic L-shaped molecular structure. tRNAs have two regions of fundamental functional importance: the anti-codon, which is responsible for specific mRNA codon recognition, and the 3' end, to which the tRNAs corresponding amino acid is attached (by aminoacyl-tRNA synthetases). tRNAs cope with the degeneracy of the genetic code in two manners: having more than one tRNA (with a specific anti-codon) for a particular amino acid; and 'wobble' base-pairing, i.e. permitting non-standard base-pairing at the 3rd anti-codon position. The record is from RNAcentral. RNAcentral also lists the same sequence under 1 other name. Lineage: Bacteria; Bacillati; Bacillota; Clostridia; Christensenellales; Christensenellaceae.
GGGGUUAUAGCUCAGCUGGUUAGAGUGUCACGUUGACAUCGUGAAGGUCGAUGGUUCGAGUCCAUUUAACCCCACCA